RNAcentral lists this ribosomal RNA (468 nucleotides) under uncultured bacterium. RNAcentral's name for it is "partial 16S ribosomal RNA". It matches the Rfam family "Bacterial small subunit ribosomal RNA", at positions 28 to 507 of the family's 1533-position model. The record is from RNAcentral.
GACGAACGCUGGCGGCGUGCUUAACACAUGCAAGUCGAACGGAAAGGCCCUGCUUUUGUGGGGUGCUCGAGUGGCGAACGGGUGAGUAACACGUGAGUAACCUGCCCUUGACUUUGGGAUAACUUCAGGAAACUGGGGCUAAUACCGGAUAGGAGCUCCUGCUGCAUGGUGGGGGUUGGAAAGUUUCGGCGGUUGGGGAUGGACUCGCGGCUUAUCAGCGUGUUGGUGGGGUAGUGGCUUACCAAGGCUUUGACGGGUAGCCGGCCUGAGAGGGUGACCGGCCACAUUGGGGCUGAGAUACGGCCCAGACUCCUACGGGAGGCAGCAGUGGGGAAUAUUGCACAAUGGGCGGAAGCCUGAUGCAGCAACGCCGCGUGCGGGAUGACGGCCUUCGGGUUGUAAACCGCUUUCGCCUGUGACGAAGCGUGAGUGACGGUAAUGGGUAAAGAAGCACCGGCUAACUACGUG